UUUGUGAGCUCUUCCUCUGAUGAAUCCAAGCUGUCAGUCAGACGGAGAGCAAGGGCAAGAGGAAAGGGAGAGAGGCUGUUGCAUUGCUUGCUAAUCAUCGGGUGAACGGGGUACUGCAGCAUCCGUUCGGGUGAUCAAUGCAGAGGUGGUACAGAGCCUCCAGAGAACACAGAACCGCUGGGGCAGAACUACAUACACUUGGGAGAGGGCCGACUCUCAGAUGAGGAUCUCAUGACCCGUCCCAUGACCUCCUUCUAUGAAGAACUGUCAAUAACCCUGACGUUGAGUGUCACGGAUGCUGUCAUGGAGAUGGUAAUGGCUGUUAUCAUUGAAGGAUGGAGUUCUACAACAGACAGGGGUCUCCACGUGGUCCAGGCCCUGCAGCCGGAAGAGUCUGCAGCCUCCUCAGACAGCGCCACCAUCUGGAGACCAAGUGUUCAAACACAUGCCUGAGGCAGAGGGCAAGGAUCCCUUUCAAACCACAGAGCAAGGGCUCAGGGGACCUGGGAGAUCCACAACGGGGCACUCUAUCCUGACAAACUGACACGUGAGUGUAAAUAUAGGAACUGAGCUGACCUUGAACUCACGGUCCUCCUGUCUCGUCUCAGCUGAGUGCCUGGGAUUACCUUUCCACCUUGUGAGGUCACCACUGGAUUACAAAUUCUUCCAGAGCAGAGCUCUAUGGCUUUCUCGCUGUGACCAGCCCUGCCUCCCCAAGAGACCAGCUGUUUGGUGAUCCCGAUGCUUUCUAUGAGCCGCCUUUGUUGUGAGAUGCUGUGGAAAGAGGAGACAUUGGGCUAUUCCUUUUGGAGGUCUCUGUGUCAUCCCGGAAUUUAGCAUCCUGUACAUUUAAAUGGCUAAGGAAUGGGAUGUAAGGAGGCAAAACUUUUACGUUCCUUUAGAUGUGAGCAGAGGGCUUGAACAAAUCUGAUAGUGGGCUGCUAGUCUCGGAAAAGAUCUCUAAUUAAAAUAAAACAAAGCAAAACAGAACAAAACAAAACACACACUGUGGGGAUCAGGUGGAGAAAAAUCAAUGUAGUUCCAAAUGCAAACCUUUCCUCAUGUUCCAAUGGGAUCUUGUGCAGUCCAGGCUAGUCUUGAACUCACUAUGUAACUAAGGAUAACCUUGAACUUCUGAUGCUAGUCUUGAACUCACUAUGUAACUAAGGAUAACCUUGAACUUCUGAUGCUCCUGCCUCCUUCUCCCAAGGGCUGGGGUUACAAGCGUGUGCCACCACACUCUGGGUUAUGCACUGCUAGGGAUGGAACCCAGGUUUUUGUGCAUACUAGAUGAGCAUCCUGCCAACUGAGAUACGUCCUUGGCCAUAGAUAUUUUAAGAAGAGGUUUUGUGUCUAUGCUUGUGUGUGCCUGUGCAUGUGGAUACAUGAACAUCCAUGGAUCUGUGUGCACGUGUGUGGAGGCCAAGGACAACCUCAGUUGUUAUUCCUUAGAUGCUGAUAACCUUGGAGUUUUUGAGACAGAGCCUCUCACUUGCCUAGAACUCACUGAUUGGGCUGAUCUGAUUGGUCAGUGAGCCCUCCGAGAUCCUCUAGUGUCUGCUUCCGCUAUAAGCCUGUGCUACCAUAUCCAGCCCUUUUCUUGUUUAAUAUGGGUUCCGAGGAUCAAAUCUGGCUCCUCAUGCUUACAAGGCAAGUGCUUUACCAACUCUGCAACUCUUAAAAGCUUAAAACUCUUAAAAGCUCCCUUUAUUUAUACAACUCAUCAAGCUCUAAGACUCAAAACACAUCUGCACCCGAUGGCCGCUUUCCCCAAGACUAAAGUUUCUGUGUUUGUGUUCUCUCUAUAAUGAACUUACAACUUGGCAAGAAGAACUCAGUGACCCCUUGACCUUGAACUUCCAGGUCCAGACCCAAGAGGUCACAAUGAAACUUGUUCUCUGCCCAGGAGCAUUGCUGGGCACAGCCCACCUGUGCAGAAUCCUAGGGUAUCCCCACAACACAUCCCUCACGGUGCCCCAUCCCUACACAGGCACGCUGUCACAAAUAAUCCAUUAAACCAUACUUAUGGCAAGUUAUUUCAGUGCUGGGUUUUGUUACCCUUAAAACACUGAAGAAGAUGAAAUUGUGUGUCAGGUUUUCAUCACUGUGACAGAAAUACCUGAGAAAAUAGCUUAGAAGAGGAAAGCGCCGUGAGGAGACAGCUCACUGGAUACACGGCUCGUGUUACAUAUGUGGGGACAUGAGUUCAGUCCCCGGCACCCAUGUUAAAAAGCCACACGUGGUGGAAGGCAGAGACUGGAGGAGACCUGGGCCUCACCGGCCAGCCUGUAGCCUACUUGGUGAGUUCUAAGCCACUGUCUCAACAAUCACGGUAGGUAGUAUUCUGAAGAAGGAGAAGAGAUAGGGGCCUCUGGCCUGUACACACAUGUACACACAUCUGGUUACACAUAAGACUACUGUCCACACAUGAACACACACAUGCAAAUAAAUGCUCGAGCAGGAUCUCAGGUUUAUUUCUGCUCUUCAUAGCCCAAUUCAGAGUUUUUCACUGAACCGGACGCUACCAUUUCAGCUAGGCUGGCCAGCCAAUGAGCUGUUCAGAUCUGUCUGUAUCCGUCUUUCAGUGAUGGGGUUACAGGCACACACAACCAUGUCUGGCUUUUGAUGAGGGUGCUGGAGAUUAAACGCUCAUCCUCAUGCUACAGAGUAAGCAACCCUACCCAUGGAGCCAUCUCCCCAACCCCUGACAGCACUCAAAAAAAUAAAACUGCACUAUCUACUAUGAAAG
This is a long non-coding RNA of Myodes glareolus (Bank vole), 2749 nucleotides long. RefSeq lists it as uncharacterized. Lineage: Eukaryota; Metazoa; Chordata; Mammalia; Rodentia; Cricetidae. The record is from RefSeq and is a predicted model, not a curated record.